GUCAGUGUGCUCAGCAGUUAGAGCAUUGGCCUGCACACCCAAAGGUCAUGGGUUCGAUUCCCUUCAAGGGCA
Molecule: non-coding RNA, 72 nt
Organism: Myotis brandtii (Brandt's bat)
Lineage: Eukaryota; Metazoa; Chordata; Mammalia; Chiroptera; Vespertilionidae
Source: Rfam